This is a long non-coding RNA of Sinocyclocheilus anshuiensis, 956 nucleotides long. RefSeq lists it as uncharacterized. The record is from RefSeq and is a predicted model, not a curated record. The transcript has 4 exons. Lineage: Eukaryota; Metazoa; Chordata; Actinopteri; Cypriniformes; Cyprinidae.
UCACCGGAAUAACGUUUUCUUUUCAGUGUUGAUAUUUGAUAUUGCUGUCUUUACACUUCACUUUUCUUUCAGAGACAGAAUAAGUGAGCUUUGUAGCUUUGUUUGUUUGUCACUGAAUGUAGAAAUAGAGAGGUUUGCGAAGUUCUGUUUCUACAAAUUAUGGACAAAUUGUACAGUUCUAACCAUCCUAACCACGACAUUUCAGAUAUCCAAAAACAUUUUCAACACAUCUAAAUGUCAUAGGGAAUGAAAAGAGCUGCAAAUUGGAGCAUAUACUACAGUGCUAAUCAGGAAGAACAAAUGACCUGCACCGUAGCUGCUGCUGUUUGCACAGAUCUUUGUUCCAGGCUCAUCAGAUGAAACACAGAUAACCACAUGCUAUUCAGCAUCAAUGGAACAGGCAGCAGCUGCCUUUGCAUCGCAGUUAAGCCACAUUCUUAUUUGUUUUCACUUCGUAAAGUCAUAGGGUCAGUGCAGUGGUUCGCCGGUCAAUGCUGCUGUGUUAUGGCAAGGCGUGACCCAAGAAAGGCAGUAAAUGUACCGCCCUUGUUCUUGAUGUAGUUUUUAUGUACGGACAAUGUGAGCAGUUUGUCUGACUGAAGUGGUGAUUAAAGCUGACAAAUAGGACCAGGGCUAAGAGCCAUUGGCUGAAUCCACGCUAGGGUCUCUUAAAGCCUAAAGCCUAAUUGGCAUUAUUUUGGCUUUGAAGGGUCACAGGCUUAAACCUUUUAUUGUGGUCACCGUAAUGCCAAUCUUCCUCCCCCACUUCUGCACCUCCCUGCACCGUUUUGUUCUUACCCAGUCAGACAACCACCUUCACCUCAGCGCAAGUGCUCUUUUUACCUCCUUUUUUUUCCCCAUAACCUUUGACCUUAUGGACCGAUCUGCAAUCAUCUGGAGCAGUCCUCCCCUAUUUAAUUCUCUCCUUUGUAGUCACUCUGACACCCGGCAAACUA